Molecule: long non-coding RNA, 678 nt
Organism: Coregonus clupeaformis (lake whitefish)
Lineage: Eukaryota; Metazoa; Chordata; Actinopteri; Salmoniformes; Salmonidae
Exons: 3
Source: RefSeq, a predicted model, not a curated record
AAUAACACUAAACUGGCAGCAACAAAUAUUAAUUAACCUUGACUCGGCGUGUUUAGUUAGCAGGGAUGUAUUUAUUUGCGCCCAUUGACUCUGAGCUCAACAUUUCGAAGUUGGGCUACACAUUUUUUUCAAUGUUCCAAGGGGGGAAAUAAACAAAGGUCUUACGUCAUAUUGUGAGAGGGGAAACCGAGGAAAGACGGAGGCACUCUAUGAAAAGGUUUAAACGGGGGAUUGUCAACGAUGAACUACAGGGACGGGACUAUCAUGUAUGCAUUAUUUCUUGAAGGAAUCCGUUUGUCCAAGUGCAGAGGGGAAAUCCUUUCCGGAACCUCCUUUCACACAGGAUCAGGCAGACAGGAGAGAGGGAGAGGAGAGGAGCGAGGGAGAGGAAAGGGAGAGAGCUUUAUCAGCGAGUGGGCCUGACACGCCUGUCACCCGUGUCCCCGCUGAGGCCUGUGUACCGAGACAGGAGGUGUCACAUCCCCACAUCGCUGCCUUUGUGCCACCAGCUGCACUUCUGAGGACGCUCUCUCUCGCCACAAACAGGGCUGGAGCUGAAGCUGGAGCUGGGCCAUCAACAUGGGGGGCCAUGGGCCGCUGACACUCACAGACAGAUAUAAACAGGGGCUGCUUGCACCAGGGAAGUCCACUGUUGUUGUCCGGUGUGGUGUUGGUGCA